Molecule: transfer RNA, 57 nt
Filed under: Caudoviricetes sp.
Lineage: Duplodnaviria; Heunggongvirae; Uroviricota; Caudoviricetes
Description: tRNA-OTHER
Source: RNAcentral
UAGACACCCUGCUUAAAAGGCAGGGUGUCCGGGGUUCGAAUCCCCGCUGGAUCACCA